RNAcentral lists this ribosomal RNA (1035 nucleotides) under Triticum aestivum (bread wheat). Its description in RNAcentral is "partial small subunit ribosomal RNA". Lineage: Eukaryota; Viridiplantae; Streptophyta; Magnoliopsida; Poales; Poaceae. The record is from RNAcentral.
AUGUCUUCUUCUUCUUCUACCCGGGUCUCUCAGCUGGGCGCCGCCGGCUUGUUGGCGGCGCUUCUGGCGGCCGUCUGCCUCCUCCACGCCGGCGGGGCAGCGGCGGCGGAGCUGUGCGUGGACUACUACGACUGCACGUGCCCGGACGCGUACAAGAUCGUGCAGGGAGUGCUGAUGGAGGCGCACCAGUCGGACCCUCGCAUCUUCGCCAGCCUGAUCCGCCUCCACUUCCACGACUGCUUCGUGCAGGGCUGCGACGGCUCGCUGCUGCUGGACACCUUCGACGGGAUGGAGUCGGAGAAGGACGCGCGGCCCAACAACGGGUCGGCGCGCGGCUUCGAGGUCGUCGACGCCGCCAAGGCCGCCCUCGAGGACGCCUGCCCCGGCGUCGUCUCCUGCGCCGACAUCCUCGCCAUCGCCGCCGAGAUCUCCGUCGAGCUGUCAGGAGGACCCGGGUGGAACGUGUUGCUGGGGAGGCUGGACAGCUUCACGUCCAGCAAAGCCGACGCCGAGAACCUACCAGGCCCCUUCGACGGCCUCGACGUGCUCAGAGCCAAGUUCCGGAACGCCACGCUCGAUGACACUACCGACCUCGUCGCCCUCUCAGGUGGCCACACUUUCGGCCGCGUGCAGUGUCAGUUCGUCACGGGCCGGCUGUACAACUUCAGCGGGACGAACCAGCCCGACCCGACCCUCGACGCGACAUACCGAGCCUUCCUGUCACAGAGAUGCCCGAGGAACGGCGACGGAACGUCCCUGAACGACCUCGACCCGACCACGCCCGACAACUUCGACAAGAACUACUUCACCAACCUCGAGGUGAACCGCGGCUUCCUUCAGUCCGACCAGGAGCUCAAGUCGGACCCCGGCGCGGCGGGGACGACGGCGCCGAUCGUCGAUCGGUUCGCAGGCAGCCAGGAGGCCUUCUUCAGUAGCUUCGUCACUUCUAUGAUCAAGAUGGGGAACAUUAGGCCCAUAACCGAUCCCUCCCAGGGAGAAGUCCGGAACCGCUGCGCGUUUGUCAAUUCAAAUUAG